This 463-nucleotide ribosomal RNA is filed under the name uncultured bacterium. Its description in RNAcentral is "bacterial SSU rRNA". It matches the Rfam family "Bacterial small subunit ribosomal RNA", at positions 34 to 497 of the family's 1533-position model. The record is from RNAcentral.
CGCUAGCGGCAGGCCUUACACAUGCAAGUCGAGGGGUAGAAUGUCUUCGGAUAUUUGAGACCGGCGCACGGGUGCGUAACACGUAUGCAACCUGCCUUUUACUGGGGAAUAGCCCGAAGAAAUUCGGAUUAAUGCCCCAUAUGCUCGCACAAUCGCAUGAUUGAGCGAGGAAAGCUCCGGCGGUAAAAGAUGGGCAUGCGUCCUAUUAGCUUGUUGGUGAGGUAAUGGCUCACCAAGGCAACGAUAGGUAGGGGACCUGAGAGGGUGACCCCCCACACUGGUACUGAGACACGGACCAGACUCCUACGGGAGGCAGCAGUGAGGAAUAUUGGGCAAUGGAGGAAACUCUGACCCAGCCAUGCCGCGUGCAGGAAGACGGCCCUCUGGGUUGUAAACUGCUUUUAUAUGGGAAUAAACCCUUCCACGUGGGAAGGCUGAAGGUACCAUAAGAAUAAGGAUCGGC